UGGGGAAUUUUGGACAAUGGGCGAAAGCCUGAUCCAGCAAUGCCGCGUGUGUGAAGAAGGCCUUCGGGUUGUAAAGCACUUUUGUCCGGAAAGAAAUCCUUGGCUCUAAUACAGUCGGGGGAUGACGGUACCGGAAGAAUAAGCACCGGCUAACUACGUGCCAGCAGCCGCGGUAAUACGUAGGGUGCAAGCGUUAAUCGGAAUUACUGGGCGUAAAGCGUGCGCAGGCGGUUUGCUAAGACCGAUGUGAAAUCCCCGGGCUCAACCUGGGAACUGCAUUGGUGACUGGCAGGCUAGAGUAUGGCAGAGGGGGGUAGAAUUCCACGUGUAGCAGUGAAAUGCGUAGAGAUGUGGAGGAAUACCGAUGGCGAAGGCAGCCCCCUGGGCCAAUACUGACGCUCAUGCACGAAAGCGUGGGGGAGCAAACAGGAUUAGAUACCCUGGUAGUCCACGCCCUAAAACGAUGUCAACUAGUUGUUGGGGAUUCAUUUCCUUAGUAACGUAGCUAACGCGUGAAGUUGACCGCCUGGGGAGUACGGUCGCAAGAUUAAAACUUAAAUGAAUUGACGGGGU
RNAcentral lists this ribosomal RNA (573 nucleotides) under uncultured bacterium. Its description in RNAcentral is "partial 16S ribosomal RNA". It matches the Rfam family "Bacterial small subunit ribosomal RNA", at positions 355 to 919 of the family's 1533-position model. The record is from RNAcentral.